RNAcentral lists this ribosomal RNA (1243 nucleotides) under metagenome. RNAcentral describes it as "bacterial LSU rRNA". It matches the Rfam family "Bacterial large subunit ribosomal RNA", at positions 1564 to 2818 of the family's 2925-position model. The record is from RNAcentral.
UGAAUACGAGACGCUAAGGCGUCGAAGUAGUGUAUGUCAUACUUCCAAGAAAAGCUUGCACUGUCAUAGAUAAAAAACGCCUGUACCAUAACCGACACAGGUGGGUAGGUAGAGUAUACUAAGGGGCGCGAGAUAACUCUCUCUAAGGAACUCGGCAAAAUAACUCCGUAACUUCGGGAGAAGGAGUGCCUUAUUCGUAAGGUUGCAAUAACAAGAUCCAAGCAACUGUUUAUCAAAAACACAGGUCUCCGCUAAGUCGUAAGACGAUGUAUGGGGGCUGACGCCUGCCCAGUGCCAGAAGGUUAAAGAAGUUGGUUAGCAAUUGCGAAGCUGAUAACUGAAGCCCUGGUGAACGGCGGCCGUAACAAUAACGGUCCUAAGGUAGCGAAAUUCCUUGUCGGGUAAGUUCCGACCCGCACGAAAGGCGUAAUGAUUUGGAUACAGUCUCGGAGAGGGCUCGGUGAAAUAGACUUGUCUGUGAAGAUGCGGACUACCUGCACCAGGACAGAAAGACCCUAUGAAGCUUUACUGUAACUUGAAAUUGAAAUUGGACUUUAUUCGCGCAGCAUAGGUGGGAGGCGUUGAUUAUAAUCUUGCGGGAUUAUUGGAGCCAUCAGUGAGAUACCACUCUUGUAAUGUUAGAUUUCUAACUUUGAAUCAUUAUCUGGUCAAAGAACAGUUUCAGGCGGGCAGUUUGACUGGGGCGGUCGCCUCCUAAACGGUAACGGAGGCGUACAAAGGUUUCCUCUGAACGGUUAGAAAUCGUAUCUAGAGUGUAAAGGCAUAAGGAAGCUUGACUGUGAGACCUACAAGUCGAGCAGGGACGAAAGUCGGUCUUAGUGAUCUGACGGUACUGAGUGGAAAGGCCGUCACUCAACGGAUAAAAGUUACUCUAGGAUAACAGGCUGAUCUCCCCCAAGAGUUCACAUCGACGGGGAGGUUUGGCACCUCGAUGUCGGCUCAUCGCAUCCUGGGGCGGUAGUACGUCCCAAGGGUUGGGCUGUUCGCCCAUGAAAGCGGUACGCGAGCUGGGUUCAGAACGUCGUGAGACAGUUCGGCCCAUAUCCGGUGUAGGCGUUAGAAUAUUGAGAGGAGCCUUCUUUAGUACGAGAGGACCGAGAAGGACAUACCUCUGGUGUACCAGUUAUCGUGCCAACGGUAAACGCUGGGUAGCUAUGUAUGGAGUGGAUAACCGCUGAAAGCAUCUAAGUGGGAAGCCCACCUCAAGAUAAGUAUUCUCAUC